GAUGAACGCUGGCGGCGUGCCUAAUACAUGCAAGUCGAGCGAACAGACGAGGAGCUUGCUCCUCUGACGUUAGCGGCGGACGGGUGAGUAACACGUGGAUAACCUACCUAUAAGACUGGGAUAACUUCGGGAAACCGGAGCUAAUACCGGAUAAUAUAUUGAACCGCAUGGUUCAAUAGUGAAAGACGGUUUUGCUGUCACUUAUAGAUGGAUCCGCGCCGCAUUAGCUAGUUGGUAAGGUAACAGCUUACCAAGGCAACGAUGCGUAGCCGACCUGAGAGGGUGAUCGGCCACACUGGAACUGAGACACGGUCCAGACUCCUACGGGAGGCAGCAGUAGGGAAUCUUCCGCAAUGGGCGAAAGCCUGACGGAGCAACGCCGCGUGAGUGAUGAAGGUCUUCUGAUCGUAAAACUCUGUUAUUAGGGAAGAACAAAUGUGUAAGUAACUAUGCACGUCUUGACGGUACCUAAUCAGAAAGCCACGGCUAACUACGUG
Molecule: ribosomal RNA, 497 nt
Filed under: uncultured bacterium
Lineage: Bacteria
Description: partial 16S ribosomal RNA
Rfam family: Bacterial small subunit ribosomal RNA
Source: RNAcentral